GAGUGAGUGUUUCUAUGUCAGUGGAUCCCACUGGGUUUGUGGUUAAAGAGAGUAGAGGGAAGAAUGCAGCCGUGAAUGUGUCCUUUCUAGUGGAAAUCUUUGCAGGACUCCUCAUGGCCAAUUGCUGAAUGGACUUGGGCUUGCCUUGCAGAUAUGCAACAUCUACCAAGAUGCUAAGUUCCUGUAUUCUUCCUGAAUUUUGGCCACUCUCUGAAGGGGUUAGUGUUUUUGUUCCAAGAUGGGUACCACCUUCAAGCUCUGUGACAUGGCCAUGGACUGGAUUGCUGACAGGAAUGCCAAGCAUCUCAGAAAAGUCAAAAAGUAGCAUGACUGACCCUGACUCACCCCACGUGACAGAGCUCCCUCCAGCACUGUGUCUCGGUUGACUUUUAUGGAUUUCAAAAACAAACACCAAACUUCCAGGGAAGCUGCAAGAAAUACCAUUAAAACUGGAGGGUGAGCCAAAGGCUUCACAAUCCACCCAGGGAGACACUCAUACCCCAAUGGUCACAGUUACCUACAAAGAGAAGAUUCAGCUCUGCUGCCUCCUGUUCAUAUUGGAAAAUAUGAAACCAUGUCCUCCUGUUCACCGAGACUGAGACCAAGCUUUCAUGGUCUCACUGCAAAGGAAGCCAAAGCACAAAGCUAUAUUGCUAGUGCACAAAUGUCAGAGGCAGAUAGUCAAGAAGUCAUUAGGCCAGCAAAGUUCCAUGUUCGUGGAAUGUGUACCCUGUCCCCUACUUUUGGGAUCUCUUCUGCCACAUCCAAGUUUGUGAGCUCCUCAGAAUUUCCAAUUCUAGAUGUGUAUUCACAGAUUAUUUUCCUCUUCUCCUCUCAUUGUGUCUUAUUUGGGGUGAUAGUAAUUUCAAGGCAUUGUGGUGGAUAACCAUGGAAGAUUUUUAUGUGGCACGUGUUCGCAUAUAUAUAUAUAUUAGACUCAUUUUCCGUUUUGCCACUUGAAAUAUUGAAUCUCUGACACUAACCCAUAACCUACUGGACUCUGACUACUUAUGGUAACAUCGAUAAAAAUAAUCCUAAAGAAUACAAGUAGAGGCAUUUGAUAGGAGACAUGGUGUAUGCAUUGACUUGUAUUUUUCUUCAUCAGAGAUACAUGCAAUAAAACCUGUCACACA
Molecule: non-coding RNA, 1133 nt
Organism: Ictidomys tridecemlineatus (thirteen-lined ground squirrel)
Lineage: Eukaryota; Metazoa; Chordata; Mammalia; Rodentia; Sciuridae
Source: RefSeq, a predicted model, not a curated record